UACGAAGGGUGCAAGCGUUACUCGGAAUUACUGGGCGUAAAGCGUGCGUAGGUGGUUCGUUAAGUCUGAUGUGAAAGCCCUAGGCUCAACCUGGGAACUGCAUUGGAUACUGGCGAUCUGGAGUGCGGUAGAGGGUAGCGGAAUUCCCGGUGUAGCAGUGAAAUGCGUAGAUAUCGGGAGGAACAUCCGUGGCGAAGGCGGCUACCUGGACCAGCNACUGACACUGAGGCACGAAAGCGUGGGGAGC
Molecule: ribosomal RNA, 247 nt
Filed under: uncultured Lysobacterales bacterium
Lineage: Bacteria; Pseudomonadati; Pseudomonadota; Gammaproteobacteria; Lysobacterales
Description: uncultured Xanthomonadales bacterium partial 16S ribosomal RNA
Rfam family: Bacterial small subunit ribosomal RNA
Source: RNAcentral